This 407-nucleotide ribosomal RNA is filed under the name uncultured bacterium. Its description in RNAcentral is "partial 16S ribosomal RNA". It matches the Rfam family "Bacterial small subunit ribosomal RNA", at positions 28 to 526 of the family's 1533-position model. The record is from RNAcentral.
GACGAACGCUGGCGGCGUGCCUAAUACAUGCAAGUAGAACGCAGUUGCGAACGGGUGAGUAAAGCGUGGAUACCUGUCUCAUUGAGGGGGAUAACUAUGGUGAACGAUAGCUAAUAUCCCAUACUGUGAGCUGGCACUGCGUUGUAUUAGGUAGUUGGUGAGGUAAAGGCUCACCAAGGCGACGAUACAUAGCCGACCUGAGAGGGUGAUCGGCCACAUUGGGACUGAGACACGGCCCAGACUCCUACGGGAGGCAGCAGUAGGGAAUCUUCGGAAACGGACGGAAGUCUGACCGAGCAACGCCGCGUGAGUGAAGAAGGUUUUCGGAUUGUAAAGCUCUGUUGUUAGAGAAGCGGUAACUAAACAGAAAGGGACGGCUAACUACGUGCCAGCAGCCGCGGUAAUUC